Molecule: long non-coding RNA, 570 nt
Filed under: Ursus maritimus (polar bear)
Lineage: Eukaryota; Metazoa; Chordata; Mammalia; Carnivora; Ursidae
Description: lncRNA (ENSUMAG00000007041.1)
Source: RNAcentral
AUGACAGUAAUCCUUAUUUCUUGUUUUGCAGAUGAAGAUAUUUUGCUGGAUGUAUUUAUUUUUCCCUCCAGAUCCCUUCUCUGUCAUUUUCCGUUCUGCUCUAUAUCCCAGAGGAACACACAAGCCGCAGAGAGAAGAAGCUGCCCAAGAAUGGAAAGGAAGAAAUAUAUCACAUCAUCUGUCUGUCCACAGGCUUUCCUUGGGGCUUAUGAAGAUUUCCUCGUGGCAGUAAUUUUUCACCCCUUUGAAUUCAGAAGGAUGGCACAGAAAUCUCAGAAACAGUGACCAUCAGCCUAUUUUAGAGCUGCUGAAAUGAGGAAUGGAAUCCGGAUAGUUUUACAGCGCUCUCUACAAGGGCUAAACCCUUUUCCCUUCCAAGUGUUCCUCAUAACAACUCUAAAUUCCUGGAAGUCUGUGGUUAAGAUGAGGUCUGUUUUCUCUGCCUUUGCAGCUUUAGGUCGCUUUUCCAACUUCCUACAAUAUUUAUCUUUGCCUGUGGUUUUGAGCCAUUUGCUGCCUCCUAAUGCCUAACUUUAAAAUAGCACACGUGGCAAAAUGCCAAGAAGGUGG